CGGGGUAACGGCCCACCAAGGCGACGAUCAGUAGCCGGACUGAGAGGUUGAACGGCCACAUUGGGACUGAGAUACGGCCCAGACUCCUACGGGAGGCAGCAGUGGGGAAUAUUGGGCAAUGGGCGCAAGCCUGACCCAGCAACGCCGCGUGAAGGAAGAAGGCUUUCGGGUUGUAAACUUCUUUUAAGAGGGAAGAGCAGAAGACGGUACCUCUAGAAUAAGCCACGGCUAACUACGUGCCAGCAGCCGCGGUAAUACGUAGGUGGCAAGCGUUGUCCGGAUUUACUGGGUGUAAAGGGCGUGCAGCCGGGUCUGCAAGUCAGAUGUGAAAUCCAUGGGCUCAACCCAUGAACUGCAUUUGAAACUGUAGAUCUUGAGUGUCGGAGGGGCAAUCGGAAUUCCUAGUGUAGCGGUGAAAUGCGUAGAUAUUAGGAGGAACACCAGUGGCGAAGGCGGAUUGCUGGACGAUAACUGACGGUGAGGCGCGAAAGUGUGGGGAGCAAACAGGAUUAGAUACCCUGGUAGUCCACACUGUAAACGAUGAAUACUAGGUGUGCGGGGACUGACCCCCUGCGUGCCGCAGUAAACACAAUAAGUAUUCCACCUGGGGAGUA
Molecule: ribosomal RNA, 614 nt
Filed under: uncultured bacterium
Lineage: Bacteria
Description: bacterial SSU rRNA
Rfam family: Bacterial small subunit ribosomal RNA
Source: RNAcentral